AUGCCGCGGUGAAUACGUUCCCGGGCCUUGUACACACCGCCCGUCACACCACGAGAGUUUGUAACACCCGAAGUCGGUGGAGUAACCGUAAGGAGCUAGCCGCCUAAGGUGGGACAGAUGAUUGGGGUGAAGUCGUAACAAGGUAGCCGUAUCGGAAGGUGCGGCUGGAUCACCUCCUUUCU
RNAcentral lists this ribosomal RNA (182 nucleotides) under Priestia megaterium. Its description in RNAcentral is "Bacillus megaterium partial 16S ribosomal RNA". It matches the Rfam family "Bacterial small subunit ribosomal RNA", at positions 1354 to 1533 of the family's 1533-position model. Lineage: Bacteria; Bacillati; Bacillota; Bacilli; Caryophanales; Bacillaceae. The record is from RNAcentral.